RNAcentral lists this long non-coding RNA (297 nucleotides) under Vicia faba (fava bean). Lineage: Eukaryota; Viridiplantae; Streptophyta; Magnoliopsida; Fabales; Fabaceae. The record is from RNAcentral.
AUGGGUUUUCGCUUACCUGGUAUUAGACGAUCAUCAUUUAGUGCAAGCCAAUCUUCUAGAAAAGAAGUGAAAGUUCCAAAAGGCUAUCUUGCAGCGUAUGUUGGAGAGAAAGCGAGGAGGUUCUUGAUUCCAAUAUCAUUCUUAAACGAGCCUUUAUUUCAAGAAUUACUGAGUCAAGCUGAAGAGGAAUUUGGUUACUCUCAUCCAAUGGGUGGUCUAACCAUUCCCUGCAAGGAAGAUGUCUUCUUACAUACAGCAUCUCGCUUAAAUGGUCUACAAUUAACUCAUAUUGAAUAA